CCUACGGGCGACAGCAGUGAGGAAUAUUGGUCAAUGGACGAGAGUCUGAACCAGCCAAGUAGCGUGAAGGAUGACUGCCCUAUGGGUUGUAAACUUCUUUUAUAUGGGAAUAAAAUGUUUCACGUGUGGGAUUUUGUAUGUACCAUAUGAAUAAGGAUCGGCUAAUUCCGUGCCAGCAGCCGCGGUAAUACGGAGGAUCCGAGCGUUAUCCGGAUUUAUUGGGUUUAAAGGGAGCGUAGGUGGAUUGUUAAGUCAGUUGUGAAAGUUUGCGGCUCAACCGUAAAAUUGCAGUUGAAACUGGCAGUCUUGAGUACAGUAGAGGUGGGCGGAAUUCGUGGUGUAGCGGUGAAAUGCUUAGAUAUCACGAAGAACUCCGAUUGCGAAGGCAGUUCACUGGACUGCAACUGACACUGAGGCUCGAAAGUGUGGGUAUCAAACAGGAUUAGAUACCCUAGUAGUC
This 460-nucleotide ribosomal RNA is filed under the name uncultured bacterium. Its description in RNAcentral is "partial 16S ribosomal RNA". It matches the Rfam family "Bacterial small subunit ribosomal RNA", at positions 338 to 795 of the family's 1533-position model. The record is from RNAcentral.